This 492-nucleotide ribosomal RNA is filed under the name uncultured bacterium. Its description in RNAcentral is "partial 16S ribosomal RNA". It matches the Rfam family "Bacterial small subunit ribosomal RNA", at positions 28 to 507 of the family's 1533-position model. The record is from RNAcentral.
GAUGAACGCUAGCUACAGGCUUAACACAUGCAAGUCGAGGGGAAACGGCAUCGAAAGCUUGCUUUUGAUGGGCGUCGACCGGCGCACGGGUGAGUAACGCGUAUCCAACCUGCCCAUCACUUGGGAAUAACCUUGCGAAAGUAAGACUAAUGCCCAAUGACAUCCCACGAAGGCAUCCGAAUGGGAUUAAAGAUUUAUCGGUGAUGGAUGGGGAUGCGUCUGAUUAGCUUGUUGGCGGGGUGACGGCCCACCAAGGCAACGAUCAGUAGGGGUUCUGAGAGGAAGGUCCCCCACAUUGGAACUGCGACACGGUCCAAACUCCUACGGGAGGCAGCAGUGAGGAAUAUUGGUCAAUGGGCGAGAGCCUGAACCAGCCAAGUAGCGUGCAGGAUGACGGCCCUAUGGGUUGUAAACUGCUUUUAUAAGGGAAUAAAGUGGGUCACGUGUGACUUUUUGCAUGUACCUUAUGAAUAAGGACCGGCUAAUUCCGUG